CAGACGGGUGAGUAACGCGUGGGAACGUACCUUUUGGUUCGGAACAACACAGGGAAACUUGUGCUAAUACCGGAUAAGCCCUUACGGGGAAAGAUUUAUCGCCGAAAGAUCGGCCCGCGUCUGAUUAGCUAGUUGGUGAGGUAAUGGCUCACCAAGGCGACGAUCAGUAGCUGGCCUGAGAGGAUGAUCAGCCACAUUGGGACUGAGACACGGCCCAAACUCCUACGGGAGGCAGCAGUGGGGAAUAUUGGACAAUGGGCGCAAGCCUGAUCCAGCCAUGCCGCGUGAGUGAUGAAGGCCCUAGGGUUGUAAAGCUCUUUUGUGCGGGAAGAUAAUGACGGUACCGCAAGAAUAAGCCCCGGCUAACUUCGUGCCAGCAGCCGCGGUAAUACGAAGGGGGCUAGCGUUGCUCGGAAUCACUGGGCGUAAAGGGUGCGUAGGCGGGUUUCUAAGUCAGAGGUGAAAGCCUGGAGCUCAACUCCAGAACUGCCUUUGAUACUGGAAGUCUUGAGUUCGGGAGAGGUGAGUGGAACUGCGAGUGUAGAGGUGAAAUUCGUAGAUAUUCGCAAGAACACCAGUGGCGAAGGCGGCUCACUGGCCCGAUACUGACGCUGAGGCACGAAAGCGUGGAGAGCAAACAGGAUUAGAUACCCUGGUAGUCCACGCCGUAAACGAUGAAUGCCAGCCGUUAGUGGGUUUACUCACUAGUGGCGCAGCUAACGCUUUAAGCAUUCCGCCUGGGGAGUACGGUCGCAAGAUUAAAACUCGAAGGAAUUGACGGGGGCCCGCACAAGCGGUGGAGCAUGUGGUUUAAUUCGACGCAACGCGCAGAACCUUACCAGCCCUUGACAUGUCCAGGACCG
RNAcentral lists this ribosomal RNA (863 nucleotides) under uncultured bacterium. RNAcentral's name for it is "bacterial SSU rRNA". It matches the Rfam family "Bacterial small subunit ribosomal RNA", at positions 99 to 998 of the family's 1533-position model. The record is from RNAcentral.